This is a small nuclear RNA of Erinaceus europaeus (western European hedgehog), 108 nucleotides long. The record is from Ensembl. NCBI's taxonomy places the organism in Eukaryota, Metazoa, Chordata, Mammalia, Eulipotyphla, Erinaceidae.
UUCCUUUAGCAGGACAUAGACUAAAACUGGAAUGAUACAGAGAAGAUUAGCAUGGCCCCUGAAUAAGAAUGACAUGCAAACCAUAGUUUUCUGUUAUCUCAUAAUUUU